Molecule: ribosomal RNA, 138 nt
Filed under: uncultured eukaryote
Lineage: Eukaryota
Description: partial 18S ribosomal RNA
Rfam family: Eukaryotic small subunit ribosomal RNA
Source: RNAcentral
UGGUGGAGCGAUUUGUCUGGUUAAUUCCGAUAACGAACGAGACUCUAGCCUAUUAAAUAGUUCGCCGAUUUUUCGAGUCGGCGUCAACUUCUUAGAGGGACAAGGUGUCGCAUAGGCACGCGAGAUUGAGCAAUAACA